RNAcentral lists this ribosomal RNA (186 nucleotides) under Vibrio cyclitrophicus. RNAcentral's name for it is "partial 16S ribosomal RNA". It matches the Rfam family "Bacterial small subunit ribosomal RNA", at positions 1 to 168 of the family's 1533-position model. The record is from RNAcentral. Lineage: Bacteria; Pseudomonadati; Pseudomonadota; Gammaproteobacteria; Vibrionales; Vibrionaceae.
UUAAAUUGAAGAGUUUGAUCAUGGCUCAGAUUGAACGCUGGCGGCAGGCCUAACACAUGCAAGUCGAGCGGAAACGACACUAACAAUCCUUCGGGUGCGUUAAUGGGCGUCGAGCGGCGGACGGGUGAGUAAUGCCUAGGAAAUUGCCUUGAUGUGGGGGAUAACCAUUGGAAACGAUGGCUAAUA